Long non-coding RNA from Pipra filicauda (Wire-tailed manakin), 409 nucleotides. RefSeq lists it as uncharacterized. The transcript has 3 exons. NCBI's taxonomy places the organism in Eukaryota, Metazoa, Chordata, Aves, Passeriformes, Pipridae. The record is from RefSeq and is a predicted model, not a curated record.
CUCCUGAAGAGCCUGUAACAAUCCAACAGGCCUCUCCAGUCGCAGGACUCGUCCCACCAUGUUUCACUUAUGGCAAAGGAAAAGAGAGUAGAGAGGGGCAGGAAAGGAGUGUGUACUAGGCAGCUGAAUCAAAAGCUCAGACCUUUUUUCUGGAGCAGCUGAAAACACGGAUUCCAGAAGGGACAGUUUGAACCAUGCCAUGCUCACCAAAAUUAAUAUAUACCUACCAAAAGAGGAAUAUGAUAUCUGUUCACCUUGUGUUUGCGUGGAACUUCCCUGUUGAUGGAGAUUCUACCCGUCUAUGUAUCUACAAAACAGGAUCACAGUGAUCUGUUCUUACCUGAUCUGUUCCUCAGGUGAAAUGGAAGCACACUUGCUUAAAUAUCAGAAAUACAUGAUAGGAAGAUCA